GACGAACGCUGGCGGCGUGCUUAACACAUGCAAGUCGAACGGAAAGGCCCUGCUUUUGUGGGGUGCUCGAGUGGCGAACGGGUGAGUAACACGUGAGUAACCUGCCCUUGACUUUGGGAUAACUUCAGGAAACUGGGGCUAAUACCGGAUAGGAGCUCCUGCUGCAUGGUGGGGGUUGGAAAGUUUCGGCGGUUGGGGAUGGACUCGCGGCUUAUCAGCUUGUUGGUGGGGUAGUGGCUUACCAAGGCUUUGACGGGUAGCCGGCCUGAGAGGGUGACCGGCCACAAUGGGACUGAGAGACGCACCAGACUCCUACGGGAGGCAGCAGUGGGGAAUAUUGCACAAUGGGCGGAAGCCUGAUGCAGCAACGCCGCGUGCGGGAUGACGGCCUUCGGGUUGUAAACCGCUUUCGCCUGUGACGAAGCGUGAGUGACGGUAAUGGGUAAAGAAGCACCGGCUAACUACGUG
This 468-nucleotide ribosomal RNA is filed under the name uncultured bacterium. Its description in RNAcentral is "partial 16S ribosomal RNA". It matches the Rfam family "Bacterial small subunit ribosomal RNA", at positions 28 to 507 of the family's 1533-position model. The record is from RNAcentral.